Molecule: ribosomal RNA, 405 nt
Filed under: uncultured bacterium
Lineage: Bacteria
Description: partial 16S ribosomal RNA
Rfam family: Bacterial small subunit ribosomal RNA
Source: RNAcentral
GACGAACGCUGGCGGCGUGCUUAACACAUGCAAGUCGAGCGGAGCGGCGAACGGGUGAGUAACGCGUGAGUAACUGCCCCCCUCUCUGGGAUAACAAUUGGAAACGGCUGCUAAUACCGGAUAGUGGGGGAUGACGCGCUGCCUAUCAGCUUGUUGGCGGGGUAGUGGCCUCCCAAGGCGACGACGGGUAGCCGGCCUGAGAGGGCGACCGGCCACAUUGGGCUGAGAUACGGCCAGAACUCCUACGGGAGGCAGCAGGGGGGAAUAGUGCACAAUGGGGGAAACGCGGAUGAAGCAACGCCGCGUGCGGGAGGACGGCCGUCGGGUUGUAAACAGCUUUCAGCCAGGACGCGGUAGUGGCAGAAGAAGCACCGGCUAACUACGUGCCAGCAGCCGCGGUAAUUC